AUCACCGAAGACAAGUAUCAUUGGGCGCGGUCAGUACUUGGGUGGGUGACUACCUGGGAACACCGCGUGCCGUU
Molecule: ribosomal RNA, 74 nt
Filed under: Caerostris darwini
Lineage: Eukaryota; Metazoa; Arthropoda; Arachnida; Araneae; Araneidae
Source: RNAcentral